RNAcentral lists this ribosomal RNA (1558 nucleotides) under Ligilactobacillus salivarius. RNAcentral's name for it is "bacterial LSU rRNA". It matches the Rfam family "Bacterial large subunit ribosomal RNA", at positions 1 to 1554 of the family's 2925-position model. The record is from RNAcentral. Lineage: Bacteria; Bacillati; Bacillota; Bacilli; Lactobacillales; Lactobacillaceae.
UUAGGUUAAGUUAUUAAGGGCGUAUGGUGGAUGCCUUGGCACUAGGAGCCGAUGAAGGACGUGACUAACUGCGAUAUGCUUCGGGGAGUUGUAAGUAAACUAUGAUCCGGAGAUUUCCGAAUGGGGAAACCUAACAGGUUUUACCGCCUGUUAUCACUAAGUGAAUUCAUAGCUUAGUUGAAGGUAGACGUGGGGAACUGAAACAUCUAAGUACCCACAGGAAGAGAAAGAAAUUCGAUUCCCUCAGUAGCGGCGAGCGAACCGGGAAGAGCCCAAACUAAGAAGCUUGCUUCUUAGGGUUGUAGGACUGAACAUUUGAGUUACCAAGAAAUGAAGUAGUUGAAUAAUCUGGGAAGAUUAGCCAAAGAGAGUGAUAGCCUCGUAAGCGAAACUUCGUUUCCUCAGUUCAGGAUCCUGAGUACGGCGGAACACGUGAAACUCCGUCGGAAUCCGGGAGGACCAUCUCCCAAGGCUAAAUACUACCUAGUGACCGAUAGUGAACCAGUACCGUGAGGGAAAGGUGAAAAGCACCCCGGGAGGGGAGUGAAAUAGUUCCUGAAACCAUAUGCCUACAAGUAGUCAGAGCUCGUUAAUGAGUGAUGGCGUGCCUUUUGUAGAAUGAACCGGCGAGUUACGUUAGCGUGCGAGGUUAAGGAGGAAAGUCCGGAGCCGUAGCGAAAGCGAGUCUGAAUAGGGCGAGAUAGUACGUUGACGUAGACCCGAAACCAGGUGACCUACCCAUGUCCAGGUUGAAGGUGCGGUAAAACGCACUGGAGGACCGAACCCGUGUAUGUUGAAAAAUGCUGGGAUGAGGUGUGGGUAGAGGUGAAAUUCCAAACGAACUUGGAGAUAGCUGGUUCUCUCCGAAAUAGCUUUAGGGCUAGCCUCGGAGUUAAGAAUCGUGGAGGUAGAGCACUGUUUGGACUAGGGGCCCGUCUUGGGUUACUGAAUUCAGAUAAACUCCGAAUGCCACAGAUUUAUAUCCGGGAGUCAGACUGCGAGUGAUAAGAUCCGUAGUCGAAAGGGAAACAGCCCAGACCACCGAUUAAGGUCCCAAAAUAUGUGUUAAGUGGAAAAGGAUGUGGAAUUGCAUAGACAACUAGGAUGUUGGCUUAGAAGCAGCCACCAUUUAAAGAGUGCGUAAUAGCUCACUAGUCGAGUGAUCCUGCGCCGAAAAUGUAACGGGGCUAAACACAUUACCGAAAUCGUGGAUGUACCUUAGGGUACAUGGUAGGAGAGCGUUCUAAGGACGGCGAAGCUAGACCGUAAGGACUGGUGGAGUGCUUAGAAGUGAGAAUGCCGGUAUGAGUAGCGAAAGAUCAGUGAGAAUCUGGUCCACCGUAUGACUAAGGUUUCCUGGGGAAGGCUCGUCCUCCCAGGGUUAGUCGGGACCUAAGCCGAGGCCGAGAGGCGUAGGCGAUGGAUAACAGGUUGAGAUUCCUGUACUGGUUAAACUUGUUUGAACAAUGGAGGGACGCAGGAGGCUAUCGAUGCGUACUGUUGGAUAUGUACGUUCAAGCAACAAGUCUGUAGAUGAGUCAAAUGCUUAUCUACUUAA